CAGCAAGUACGGGGCGACGACCCGCAGUCCACGCAUCCGGGCACUCCGACUGCGACGAGCCAGUAGUGCGACCGACGUACUUCACC
Molecule: non-coding RNA, 86 nt
Filed under: unclassified sequences
Description: c-di-GMP sequence
Rfam family: c-di-GMP-II-GAG riboswitch aptamer
Source: Rfam by way of RNAcentral